Long non-coding RNA from Homo sapiens (human), 1852 nucleotides. NCBI's taxonomy places the organism in Eukaryota, Metazoa, Chordata, Mammalia, Primates, Hominidae. The record is from Ensembl.
CUUCCCCUCCUUGGCCCCAGUCUCCCCAAUUCUAAAAUCGGAUACUGGAUAAAAUGCCACGGAAGAACCUAGGGAUGCACCAGGAACCACGCGCCUGAAUGCCACAGGUUUGAUUUGAUGCAACUGCAGCUCUGUAAGCAAAUCUGAGACGUGUUCACAUGUGGCAGCUGUGCAUGGGUGAGGGGGCCUUCAGGAAGGUCCCUCUGCCUGAACAAAACAGACAUGUCCAGUGGCAGGACUCAUCUGACAACACAGACCCACACCCCUCCCCACCCCAGAGGCUCAGAACAGUGUCCACUAGAGUUGGAAGUGGCUCUAAAUCUGCUACACACCUCCAGCCUCCAAUAACAAGUGGCCACCAGCAAAGGCAGGGAGGCAUCAGCGGUGAGUACCCAGGUUUCCCCCAGAGCAUCCGAGUGGGAGGGAAUUUGGCUUGGCAAAAUCUUCCAACAACUCCCAGAGCCUGAACAACCUUUUCCCAGCCCCAGGUGGGUGGAAGAACACAGCCUGCUGCCUCAUCACCAUGGAGACAGGCAGUAGAGAGGGUGGUUAAAAGCAUGGGCCCAGACCUCCUGGGGUUCAAAUCUCAGCUCCUCCACCCACAGGCUGUGAGACUUUGACAAUUCACUUAAAUUCCUUAUGCCUUAGUUUCCUCAUCUGUAAAACAGAGAUAAGAAAAGUAUGAACUUCACAGGAUUGUUUAUAGGAUUAAAUACUCCAUAUGGCGCAUUUAGCACAGUGCUGGGCAGCUGAACUGGGAGGCAUAAGCCCUGGGUUCCAGCCCUAGCUUUGCCACCAACUUACUGUGUGAGUUUGGACAAGUCACUUGCCAUCUCUGGCACUCAGAGUCUCCAUCUGCACAACAAUCUCAAGAAACGCUACCAGUUAUGACCAGCUGAGACUUUGGGGAGGGCAGCUUAGCAUGGGGCUGUCUUGGUGAGCUGGGGGCCCUAGUGUUGGCUGAGGCCUGAUCAUGAGCUCUACACUACCCUUUCCUCCCCAGAUCUAUUUUCCCAAAUUGGCAGCAGCUGAUGGCAUCUCUCUGUACCCUCUAUCCCUCUAGCCUGCCCACAGGGCCCUGUGUUGCCCUGCUCAGCUGGUACUCAGGCCUUGGAGAAAUGGCACUGGUACCCACUGACCCCAAACAAAGGUAUCUGCAGUGCCCAAAGCAGAAGAUAUAGUGGCUCAUACUUAAACCUGCCUGUGAGCCCUCUAGAGAGGCAGGUACAAUUGCGGAAGGAUGGAUGUAAUUGUUUGAAGAUGCUCAUAAUCCUUCGGCGGUAAUGGCAGGAAGCUUUAAAAUGAAGCCCUAAUCCGCUAAUAACCUGGCAGCCCCACAGCCUUCUUCCCUCCUGAUCUCCAGGAAGGGAGAAGGAACUCUAGCCACUCCCUUUCCCAAGGGAGCAGAAAGGCAAGUGUGGGCUCUGACCCAAGACCACCGGAUUUUGACUCUCCUGCAAGACCCAGCUUCCUUCCUGCCUCCAUCUCCAAGAAGUCUUCCCUGCCCAUUUCAUCCUUCUGAAGUCUUUUCUGCCCCCUCUGUCCCUAGAAAUAUUCUAGGACAGAACUGGAUGACAGACUGGCUGGACAGUAAAGAAAGGAAUGAGGCCUGGUGCGGUGGCUCACGCCUAUAAUCCCAGCACUUUGGGAGGCCGAGGCAGGCAGACCGCCUGAGGUUAGGAGUUCGAGGCCAGCCUGGCCAACAUGGUGAAAUCCCAUCUCUACUAAAAAUACAAAAAUUAGCUGGGCAUGGUGGCGGGCACCUGUAAUCCCAGCUACUUGGGAGGCUGAGGCAGGAGAAUUGCUUGAACCCGGUAGGCGGAGGUCGCAAUGAGCCGAGAUCAUGCCACUG